CCUCCGCUGGUGGAGUAAGAGCGCCGAUUCGGGGAUCGAUUGUCGCGUCCCGAUGGGACGCGAUAAAUCGAUCCCCGAGAGGUCGAUUUCUACCCGCCAAUUCAGGCGGGUAGUGUAGACCUAGCCAGUUUAAACAAGCUUUAAAUUAAAUUCAAACCACCUUCAUUUAAAUCACUUCAAUUAAAGGAACCAGGUUAAAACCAGUUUAAGAGGGUUCACACAGGGGUUUGCACUGGUUCAACUAAAUCGAUUUAAAAGCAGAUAUCCAUUAAACUGCUCCAAGGUCUAACUCAAGGCUUCCCAUUCCUUUUUCCUCCUGGCACUGGGGGCGAAGGUGUGGGGAAGGGGGAUGCAGCAGGAACUGUUGAGGGAUUUCAUAUAUUUCACACGUGGCUCGGAGUUUGCUAAGCUCCUGGAGUUCUAUGUGGCAGGGGGGUUAAGUUUGCCCUAUGGAAGUCUUGCUGCCUGGGCGCCCAGAUGUCAGGACAGGUGACUAGCUCGGGACAGGAUGGAGCUGGGGAACCAGCGAGCUUCGCAUUCCUGCUGCGGGUUUACUUCUCAGUUGCUACGUGGAGUGAAUCAGGCUCCAGCGGGAGCUGGAUGGGAGGCGGUAACUCGGCCCAUGGCUCACCCCGGGAGAGGGGAUUGGGGCAGCGGGAUCACUGCCUUCUUAUGCCCGAUCCGUCGCUCCGAGAAGGGGGAGGCUGGGCUGGGAGACUCGGGGCUGGAGCAUGCCAAGGAGUUGCAUGGCCAGACCCUCUCCCCCAGGCAGGGCUGGGCCCGGCGGGGGGAACCUCCUCGCCGUCCCGGGGGGAGGCGCGCAGCCUCUCCAGGCGCAAUGCGCCCCGCGGAGCGCACGGGAGUGGCCGGCCGGGGGCUCUCUCGGCUCCCCGGCCCCGGGAGGCAGCUCUGCAAAGUUUGCAGCCGGCCUGGCCAGAGCUCGCCGCCCCCGCCGGGCCUUUUGCACACGAGUCCCCAGCGCUUCACACGGGCCGCGGCCGGGGCCAGAUAAAGAGGCAGUUGCGAGCCCGGCGCGGGGGGUGGCUGGAGCCGGGGGACCCUCGGAGGGGAGCUGGAGCCGGAGCCGAGCGCGCCCCGGCAGGUGGGGAUGGCGGACGGGGAGGAGAAGCGGCACCUGCUGGAGGAGCCCGGAGACAGGUCCUAUCUGAGCGUCUCCGAGAAGAACUUUCGCAAUUCCAUGCUCAAGUACGUUCCAGACAUGUCCUCCAUUGAGCUGGGCCUCCCGGGGAACCAGCAUUGUCAUUCCAACCGGGCUGCUGGCAGCCACUACAGUUCCGAAAAGCAGCGGGCUCGAAGGAAACUCUACGUCGCAUCCGUGAUCUGCCUGGUCUUUAUGACCGGAGAAGUCGUAGGGGGAUACCUGGCCCACAGCCUGGCCAUCAUGACAGACGCAGCUCACCUGCUGACGGACUUCGCCAGCAUGAUGAUCAGUCUGUUUUCCCUGUGGAUGGCCUCGCGGCCGGCUACUAAAACCAUGAACUUUGGCUGGCACCGAGCAGAGAUCCUGGGGGCCCUGCUCUCAGUGCUGUCGAUCUGGGUGGUGACCGGAGUCUUGGUUUACCUGGCAGUGGAGCGUCUGCUCUCAAACAACUACGAGAUCGAAGGGGGCGCCAUGCUCAUCACCUCUGCCUGCGCUGUGGCAGUGAAUAUCAUAAUGGGAGUCACUCUUCACCAGUCGGGUCAUGGGCACAGCCACCAGGGCCAUACCCACCAUGGCCACAGCAAGCAGCGGAACGCCAGCGUCCAGGCCGCCUUUAUCCAUGUGGUCGGGGACCUGCUGCAGAGCGUUGGCGUCCUGGUAGCUGCAUAUAUCAUAUAUUUCAAGGUACGGGCUCUGUUGCUAAGAGUGUCUUGGGCACGGAAGGCUGGUAAGUCCCCGCUGCGUGAUGUCCGGGGUGUCUUUCGUUUGUUGUGGCACGGGAGUUGGAGCAUGACGCGUGCUGUCCCGGUUGGAGGAAGGGAGAGGUACUCCUGUGGGAGGAAGGUGUGGUCUGAGCACAGAACUGGGAGCCAGGAACUCUUGCGUUCUUAUCUUUGCUCUGCCGGUAAUUCCUUCUCUAUCCUUGAGAAAGUCACUUAACCUCUCUGCCUUCGUUUCCCUGAAUGCCUUGGCCAAGGACGCAGGGGAAGUUAGUGGCAGAACACAGAUGAUAUAUGGAUUUAUUUUUUUUAAUUGCAUUUCACUUACUUCCCCCACCACAGAAAUGCAGCCACCUCUGGAAUGGCGUGCAGCAGCUGCCUAGCAGCACUCCACAACCACGUAGGAUAGGAAGUGAGGGAUUCUCUGUGAACUUGAACCUUCAGGGGAAUGCAGGGAUGUACUGUCCAAGUUGGAACUUAGCUGAGACACUAAUGCUGAUGCCCCAGCUCUGUGCUAUAGGACCCUUAUUGUCCACACUCGGUCAGGAUCUCUGCUUCUCUUCUCAUCAGAAAGGAGGCCAGGUGGUCCGGUGACACUAUGCUGGGGCAUUGGGUCAACACUCAGGCCAGGUCUAGACUGAAUUUUUUUGCCAGCAUACUAAUGUCACUUAGGGAUGUGAUUUUAUUUGCAACAUGCUUAUACUGCUCAGAGUUUCACAUGUACAGUUAUGCCGGCAAAAAAGUGGGUAAGAGAUCCUGAGACAAGCACUUUUUUGACACUCUAAACUGCGUCUACACGAGGACGGUUUGCCAGUAGAGCUACACUGGCAAACCCUUGCUGGUGCAGACUUGCUCAUACUCAGAGGAAAGAGCGCAACGUUUUGAAUUAUUGGCACCUGGCCGUUCCCUGGAGGCCUCCCAUCCAAGCAGUGACCGGGCUGCACCUCUGUUUAACUCGUGAUCCACUCAGCGGUCACUACACACGGUGCAAUUGCAAAAGGAAAAAUGGAAUUUUCAUUUGGAACGAAGCUCAGGAAGGAAACCGUUGAGCAUUGUGUAAUGAGAUUACACGGGCAGUUGUUUGAAUAGGAGGCAUUUGUGAGCUUUAUAUUAAAUAUACCGCGUAACAGCUUUCCUCCUCCUACCAGCCAGAGUACAAAUACGUAGACCCCAUCUGUACCUUCCUGUUCUCAAUCCUGGUCCUUGGAACGACGCUGACCAUCCUCCGGGAUGUCGUCCUAGUGCUGAUGGAAGAUGAAAACGCCGAUGCACAGACCAUCCUGAAGGAGGCUAGUUC
Non-coding RNA from Chrysemys picta bellii (western painted turtle), 3178 nucleotides. The record is from RefSeq and is a predicted model, not a curated record. Lineage: Eukaryota; Metazoa; Chordata; Testudines; Emydidae.